RNAcentral lists this long non-coding RNA (581 nucleotides) under Homo sapiens (human). RNAcentral's name for it is "novel transcript, antisense to SETD7". The record is from RNAcentral. Lineage: Eukaryota; Metazoa; Chordata; Mammalia; Primates; Hominidae.
ACAAACAAUGUGCAGCAGCAACAGCAGCAGCAGAAGUAGUGUGGCUCAGCUCCUAACUUGGCAGAUCCCAGUGAGACAGAACAAGCUCUACCAGGGAGGAACGGGACCGCACAGGACAUCCAACAUCUAGGCUGGCUAUUGGUAUUCUGCAGCAGCUGCCUCACAGAGCCUGGAGAGCUCCAGCAAGGAUGGGCCGGAACUCCAGCUGCUGUGGAACCAGCUCUUGGAUUUCUUUAUCCAUAUGAAGACCUGCAAAGGGCCUGAUAUUUUUUUUUUCUCCUACGUGCCGGCUAACAAGUUAGUCUGCCAGUGGUCUCCUAGGGUUGUAUAGUCUUCCAAUGUCUGCAAUUCCCUUAAUGGCCAUUAGAGUCGCGGACGAGAAAAAAACUCUUCAGAAAACGGUGUGAAUAAUGGGAGCAAGAGAAGAAGUUCCUGGUUAUAGCCCACUCAUAUAUUUUUGAAAUAUAGGUCAGAUCUAGAGGAAAUGAAAGAAACUUCCUGUUGAAUUUUCAUUUAUAGUAUGUGUCUGGAAAUCUCUAAAUGUAAUUUCUUGGUGUAAAAUAAACUGCAGAAAUCUGGGA